RNAcentral lists this unclassified non-coding RNA (334 nucleotides) under Bombus terrestris (buff-tailed bumblebee). Its description in RNAcentral is "misc RNA ENSBTSG00005025008.1". Lineage: Eukaryota; Metazoa; Arthropoda; Insecta; Hymenoptera; Apidae. The record is from RNAcentral.
AGCGCCGGACUCUUCGGCCAAAAGAUUUCAUCCCGCGAAUAAAAUCGUGCGUGUCGCUGCGUGGGAGAAUGGAAAGAGCUCGACAGGCAAGUACGAUCGCACUCGUUUAUGUAGACGAACAUAACGCGUACUCUCGGCUAGCAUUUGCAUCGUCGAAACGACCAGCUCGCAUAACCGAAAGCUCGUCGACGAGGGCGAUCGACCAGCCCGUGCCUCCGACGACAAAUAUACGCGCGAACAUUCCCCAUUCACGUAGGGCUGCGAACAUCUGGAUACUGUUUCAUCGACUUAACUCGACGGUUAUAAGCCCGUGAAAGCAAGAAACACCGGCAAG